GGAGCAUGAGGAAUGGCUACUACAUCUAAGGGUGGCAGCAGGCGCGAAAAUUGCCCAAUACAGACUCUGUGAGGCAGUGACAAAACAUAACAAUGACGUGGUUGAUAAAACUAUGUCAAUUGGAAUGAGAACGAUAGAAAAGAUUUAACGAGAAACAAGAAGAGGGCAAGUCUGGUGCCAGCAGCCGCGGUAAUACCAGCUCUUCUAGCAUAUAUUAAAGUUGCUGCAGUUAAAACGCUCGUAGUUUGAAUUAUUUCGGUUGCCGGCGGCUGGAAAAUUUAAUUUUUCAAGUCGUCGGCGGCUGAAUUAAAGUUGGGGUGGAGCUGAUUAAUUUCUCUUCAUCCAGAUAACCUUGAAAAAAUAUUGUCGCUCAAAAAAGGACGGAAUGUCUAUUGAGAUUUCAGCAUGGGAUUAUGGAAAAAGGGGAGUUGGUUCAAGAGGGGGUAAAAGCCUGAUUGGCCUUCUUCCAAUGGUUAAUGAGGACGAUGCGUGGGAGUUCAUAUUAAAUUGUCAGAGGUGAAAUUCUUGGAUUAAUUUAAGAUGAACAUCAGCGAAGGCGUUCUUCAAGUGCGUGCCUGUCGAUCAAGAACGAAAGUUGGGGGAUCGAAGACGAUCAGAUACCGUCGUAGUCUCAACCUUAAACUAUGCCGACUAUGAAUAGGAUAUCGUUUUAAGAAGUGUGUAAAAAGCAUUUCUGAUGACUUCUCCUGCGCAUUAAAAGAAAUUAAGAGUUUUUGGGUUCCGGGGGGAGUAUAGUCGCAAGGCCGAAACUUAAAGGAAUUGACGGAAGGGCACCACCAGGUGUGGAGCCUGCGGCUUAAUUUGACCCAACACGGGGAAACUUACCAGGUCCAGACAGCGUGAGGAUUGACAGAUUGAUAGCUCUUUCAUGAUUCGUUGGGUGGUGGUGCAUGGCCGUUCUUAGUUGGUGGUGUGAGUUGUCUGGUUGAUUCCGUUAACGAUCGAGACCUUUGUUGUAUAAUACGAGGCGCUAGUUUUUGCGCAAAGGGUGGUGGUUCCUUCUCGAGAUACGAGCAAUCGCCUUGGGAAAAGAGCCAUCACUUGCAUAGCUAGCGUCAGUUUCGUUCUAUACAAGACAAAUACAGAAAAUGUAUUGGAAGUUAUAGGCAAAAACAGGUCUGUGAUGCCCUUCGAUGUUCUGGGCUGCACGCGCGCUACAAUGACAAUGUCAGCGAGUUUUUUAGCUUGGGCGAAAGCUCUGGCAAAUCUUCGAAACGUUGUCGUACUAUGGAUUGUUGAUUGCAACUAUUCGACAUAAAACAGGAAUACCUAGUAGACGUGCUUCAUCAGAGUACGUCGAUUACGUCCCUGCCCUUUGUACACACCACCCGUCGCUCCUACCGAUUGGAACAUACGGUGAAAAUCUCGGAGAAGGCAGUUCUUGCUACAGAGUU
This 1415-nucleotide ribosomal RNA is filed under the name metagenome. RNAcentral describes it as "bacterial SSU rRNA". It matches the Rfam family "Eukaryotic small subunit ribosomal RNA", at positions 391 to 1739 of the family's 1831-position model. The record is from RNAcentral.